This is a long non-coding RNA of Sebastes umbrosus (honeycomb rockfish), 2206 nucleotides long. RefSeq lists it as uncharacterized. The transcript is spliced from 2 exons. NCBI's taxonomy places the organism in Eukaryota, Metazoa, Chordata, Actinopteri, Perciformes, Sebastidae. The record is from RefSeq and is a predicted model, not a curated record.
AAAAGCAUGCUGGCUUGCAUACUGCAAAAUGCGACCGGAUGGUCCUGGUAUUUUUGGCAUACUGCAUUUGACCUACUAAGCACUGGGACACACUAAAUCAUUUUCUGGAAUACUAAAUAGUAUGAAAGCAGGGCAUUGUUGUCCCACAAUCCUCAGCGUUGGGAGAAAGCUGACCAGUGAGGAAGGGCUGGCCUGUGACACGUCCACCAGCGCGCCCAGUAGGGCCUCUGUUAGGGAUUGGUCUCCUAGGUAACUGACUAGUGUGGGCACCUGAGGGCUCAACAUCUGUUCGGGUGAGAUGAAACAAAGAUAAGGAGGGGAGAAAGCAUUAGUCAUUACUUUUGAUUAUAGCUGUAAUCCUGUCACUGUUCUGGCACCACCACUCAAUAUCAAACAGAGGCUCGAUGUGUCUUUGACAAAGCCUGGAGGUGAGAGGAGUGACCUUGGUGUGAACUGACCGAUUGGUAACUAAAAAUGAACAAAGGCUUGCCUGAAGGACUGUCUGGACAAACUGUUCCUCCUCAUUAUCAGGACAGGUCACACUGGACUGCACGAGACUGGACUGGAUCAGACUAACAAUGCCCACCAUUUCCAGCCCUCCUGCUGCUACUUUAUGAGUCACAUGUUCUGAAUUAAUCACAUUACUAAUUUUGUAAUCCUUUCAGUACUCCAUCACUUCCAGUAAGAGAAUAUUAGGAUGCACAAAUGUUUCUGAUGAAUGCAACUACAAUCACAACAGAAAUCUUUUGUGUGUCUGUGUGGGGGGUGGAGAUCAGAAUAACUCCAAACAGCUGGUUUGGUUUGUGACGAGUGAGACUAUCCAUGUUUUACCACCAUAUGCUCUGUUUGCUGGUAUGUGGUACUUUCCCCUCAUGUCGAACAUCAGCAGCUCUGCCCCGAAAUAUGCAGGAUUAAGGGAAUUCCUACUGAGAAAUCUGCACUCCACAUGCACUGCUCAAUUUCCUCACUUCUAACUAUGAUCCAGUGGCUUUUUCUAUAUUUCGACAUGAGCUCAUAACAGGAUAUUGCGCAGUUAAACGGUAAAUAUUCUGAUUAAGCUUGACUCAUGGGCAGAAAUGUUACAAAAAAAGCCACACACGUCUUUCACUGUAAGCCAAAGCCAAGCUAAAUGUAAACGUAUGCCAUGACCACAGAGACUCUGAUUUAGUUGGGACAGUGCUUUAUUUUCAGAUAACCCUACAGUCUGAUGUAUUUUAACUACCUCAUUAUCAUUUAGUAUAUAAUACAGCUGGAAGGCUGCUUGUUUUAGGUGUUACUAGGCUUCUUGAAACAGUUAGUCCAAGGCUGACGAAGAUAGCCAACAAAAAGUUUUUAAAAAUAUGACGUGAACUAAUUUGUAUUUCGAUCGCUGGUAAAGUGACAGUGGUAUAAGUGGGAUAAUUCACUUCGGCCCAUGCGGUUAUAAAAAAACAACCCACAGUACACUGUGCUAGCAAAACUACAAAAACACAACUCAAACACUCACAAGUGGGUGUUGCUCGGCAACAAUUUGAAUGAGUCUGAUCAGGUGUUGUUGCUCUGGGGACUCCAGCUGUGACAUCAUCGCAGUGAGGUUGCCUAGGUGAAAGUGGAUGGUAUCUGGUUGUCUGGGGUAGACUGAGGGUAACACUCGUAACAGCAUGUGGUUACCUGCCAGAGAGAGAAAGAGACAGAGUUGCUUUCAGUAAGCCUCAGAGGCAAAUACAAACUUGGUGACCACCAUUUAGACACUGAAAAUAUAAAACAGUAGUUAGACAGAGAAAAAAGAUUGGGUGACCAGUGUGAACAGUAGAAGUGGAGACAUAAAUUUAUUGUUUUAUAAAAUGCCCAAAAUACGAGAAAUUACAGAUUAUUGAAGGAUAGGAUUAAUGGGUCUGUUGUAUUAGACUGCAUUAGUUUUAGCAGGGUGUACCUAAUAAACUGGCGACUUACUCCAUCAGACUUCUUAUUAUCGAUGUCGCUGCAUUCCCAGAUCUCAACAAUUAACUUGGUGACUAUGAUUGAAUUAAUACCAAGAGAACUGAAGGCCAAAACUAUGAAAAUCACACCCAUGUCGCAUGAAACCUGAAUUUUCCUUUAAUCUGUUAGUGGUGUAGCUGUACUGUAACAUCGUGCAUAUUUGCCACAAUUAUUUUCCUCAGCAAACACGCACAAUCCCCCGUCAAGGUACCACAUCUGUAUUCAGUAAAUAAAACUUUCUCCAUUU